This 402-nucleotide long non-coding RNA is filed under the name Chinchilla lanigera (long-tailed chinchilla). RNAcentral's name for it is "lncRNA (ENSCLAG00000022773.1)". Lineage: Eukaryota; Metazoa; Chordata; Mammalia; Rodentia; Chinchillidae. The record is from RNAcentral.
UAAGGAGUCUGAACCACCACAGAGGCAUCCUAUAGACAUAACUAAUGGUGCAGAGAGGACAAUGGCCCAGUUCGCAGCAUCAUCAAGCUUCUGAGUCGGGAAAGAUCUGAGGCUAGCCCCAGAAGGUCAGUAUCUGAGUUUACCUGAGAAGAAAUAUCUUGGACCAAGAUUAAGUCUCAUCAACAGUAAAGGAAUGCGCAAAACCACAAGGCUCCUGUUUACUCUGAAGAAGCCGCAACCAAUGAAGUCUGACAAUGGGGACUUGAGUUUGAAGUUGAUGACCUCUAGAUCAGUUGCAGCUCUAUGAUUCCAUGGUCAGAAUAUUACUAACAUUUUUUUUAUUGAGAUGUAAUUCACACACCACAAAAUUCAUCAUUUUAAUAUGAUUAAAUGAUUACUGGU